AGCGGAUAUUUAAGGGCGCAGUGGAGCUACAGCUGCCAUACAAGUCAAAGCGGAAAAGGACUCAACUGAGCCGACAGUUCUGUUGAACAAUGGAGAACCAACACAGACCAAGAACACAUCAAAGACAAGAUCCUGGACACAGACAUGACAGUGGGACACUUCUUCAUGAAAGAGUGAGAGAUGGUGGCGGUGGCAGAAGAGGAGGUGGAGGAGGAUUGGGUGAUGGAGACAGAAGAGGAUUUGCAGGGGG
This is a long non-coding RNA of Trichomycterus rosablanca, 250 nucleotides long. RefSeq lists it as uncharacterized. The record is from RefSeq and is a predicted model, not a curated record. The transcript is spliced from 3 exons. NCBI's taxonomy places the organism in Eukaryota, Metazoa, Chordata, Actinopteri, Siluriformes, Trichomycteridae.